This 263-nucleotide long non-coding RNA is filed under the name Coffea arabica (coffee). Its description in RNAcentral is "long non-coding RNA (CARA_LNC003675)". Lineage: Eukaryota; Viridiplantae; Streptophyta; Magnoliopsida; Gentianales; Rubiaceae. The record is from RNAcentral.
CCAAAUCCACAGUACCACUAUUAUAUCCUUAGCCAGCCAUCAAUUGAACCACUUCUAAAGUAGCCAAUGUCAUAACUAUAACGCAAUCACCCCAAGAUACAAAGAUACGCAAACCAAAUUUUAAUGAACUACAUAGAAAUGCAUCCGAAAUACCCACCAACCAUACAUAUGAACAGCAAACUGCUAUCAAAAAAGGGGGAAAAAAAUAGAACUCGCCUGACCAAAAAAAUCUACAGCCUUCCUUGGUAUGCCCAUUCCCCUGC